UCGCAUCGAUGAAGAACGUAGCGAAAUGCGAUACCUGGUGUGAAUUGCAGAAUCCCGCGAACCAUCGAGUCUUUGAACGCAAAUUGCGCCCGAGGCCAUUCGGCCGAGGGCACGCCUGCUUGGGCGUCACGC
RNAcentral lists this ribosomal RNA (132 nucleotides) under Ceroxylon parvifrons. RNAcentral describes it as "partial 5.8S ribosomal RNA". It matches the Rfam family "5.8S ribosomal RNA", at positions 28 to 154 of the family's 154-position model. From Rfam's summary of the family: 5.8S ribosomal RNA (5.8S rRNA) is a component of the large subunit of the eukaryotic ribosome. It is transcribed by RNA polymerase I as part of the 45S precursor that also contains 18S and 28S rRNA. RNAcentral also lists the same sequence under 1 other name. The record is from RNAcentral. Lineage: Eukaryota; Viridiplantae; Streptophyta; Magnoliopsida; Arecales; Arecaceae.